This 582-nucleotide small RNA is filed under the name Pongo abelii (Sumatran orangutan). RNAcentral describes it as "processed transcript". The record is from RNAcentral. Lineage: Eukaryota; Metazoa; Chordata; Mammalia; Primates; Hominidae.
CAGUAUGUGCUGUUAAAUAUAUUUCUCUAGCAGUUGGAAAAAUGCAUUGAUGAUGCUUUAAGAAAAAAUGAUUUCAAACCUUUGAAAACACUUUUGCAAACUGAUAUUUGUGAAGAUGUGAAGAUUAAAUGCAGCAAACAGUUUUUCCACAAGGUGGACAACCUUAUAUGCAGGGAACUUAAUAAAGAGGAUAUCCACAAUGUUUCAGCCAUUUUGGUUUCUGUUGGAAGAUGUGGCAAAAAUAUCAGUGUAUUGGGGCAAGCUGGACUUCUAACGAUGAUAAAACAAGGACUGAUACAAAAGAUGGUUGCCUGGUUUGAAAAAUCCAAGGAGAUUAUUCAGAGUCAAGGAAAUUCAAAAGAUGAAGCUGUUCUAAAUAUGAUAGAAGACUUAGUUGAUCUUCUGCUGGUAAAAAUCACAUUGAUUACACUGAUGUUUAUAAAACGUGUUUAUUUAAAAAACAAUUUGUGUUCUCUGUGCCCUGAGCCUAAAAGUCACUAACAGAUUGGUUGGUGACUUGGUUGGAUUGGUCUGUUCAGAUUGUAUAAAACAUUUAUUCUGGUAAAUAUAAUUAAAUGGUUA